AGCUGUGGCUCACUGGUAGAGCAAAUGUUUGGCAUGCAUAAGGUCUCAGGUUCUAUCCCUGGUGGUUCUA
Molecule: transfer RNA, 70 nt
Filed under: Sphaerodactylus townsendi
Lineage: Eukaryota; Metazoa; Chordata; Lepidosauria; Squamata; Sphaerodactylidae
Description: tRNA-Ala
Rfam family: tRNA
About the family: Transfer RNA (tRNA) molecules are approximately 80 nucleotides in length. Their secondary structure includes four short double-helical elements and three loops (D, anti-codon, and T loops).
Source: RNAcentral